RNAcentral lists this ribosomal RNA (584 nucleotides) under uncultured bacterium. Its description in RNAcentral is "bacterial SSU rRNA". It matches the Rfam family "Bacterial small subunit ribosomal RNA", at positions 32 to 609 of the family's 1533-position model. The record is from RNAcentral.
AACGCUGGCGGCGUGCCUAACACAUGCAAGUCGAGCGGUAACAGGUGUAGCAAUACAUGCUGACGAGCGGCGAACGGGUGAGUAAUGUUUCGGAAUCUGCCCAAUGGUGGGGAAUAACCAGCCGAAAGGUUGGCUAAUACCGCAUAAGUCCUACGGGAGAAAGCGGGGGAUCGCAAGACCUCGCGCCGAUGGAUGAGCCGAAACCGGAUUAGCUAGUUGGUAGGGUAACGGCCUACCAAGGCGACGAUCCGUAGCUGGUCUGAGAGGACGACCAGCCACACUGGGACUGAGACACGGCCCAGACUCCUACGGGAGGCAGCAGUGGGGAAUAUUGGACAAUGGGGGAAACCCUGAUCCAGCGACGCCGCGUGUGUGAAGAAGGCCCGCGGGUUGUAAAGCACUUUUAGUGGGGAUGAAAAGCUCAGGGCUAAUACCGCUGAGUCUUGACCUAACCCAAAGAAAAAGCACCGGCUAACUCUGUGCCAGCAGCCGCGGUAAUACAGAGGGUGCAAGCGUUAAUCGGAAUUACUGGGCGUAAAGCGUGCGUAGACGGUUAUGUAAGUCGGGUGUGAAAGCCCCGGGCU